GAUCCUUUAACCCACUGAGGGGACCAAGGAUUGAACCUGCUUCUUCAUAGUUUCCAGAGAUGGUACAUCCUAUUCUCAGUCUCCUGAGACGUCACGCCUCCUGAAAUGAGGGUAGUUACACAUGGUAGAAGCAGUAAGUGUGAAAUUCCAUCUAGACUCUGAAUGCACAGGGCUGAAACCCUGGAUCUGAGCCGCUCGGCAGUGGUAUCCUCACCGCAUGGGUGAUCCGCUUGGUCUUCUGGAGAAUGAAAAGCCAGACCCAACUCAAAGCCGCAAGUUCAAGCCUUAGGAUUCGCCCAGGGAAGACGUGUGAGAAUUCCUGUCUUCAAGGCACUGAGAAUCCCAACAGACAACACACAUGAAGCGGGCAGGAAACACCUCCAUGCCAGGCUGUGAGGGCCAUACCCGCUGCAUAUGGAAAUUCCCAGACAAAAAAAGAAAAAGAAAAAGAAGAGCUGACUGUACUGUUCCUGCAGGUAGGAAGAUUUGCCCAUAAAAGGUCUUGCCCACUGAUUAUCACUUGGAGUAGGCCCUCCCCCAUCCCCCACCCCCUCAUCUCCCCAACCCCCAACCCCGUACCCUCCCCACCAUGGCUGGCAUCCGAAAUAAAGCCAACUUUCCUUUCCACCAACCUUGCUCUUGUUUGGCUUUAGAGCAUCCAGCAGCCGGACCCCACUUUCAGUAACAAUCAGGGUCCAGGCUUCCCUAAUGAGACCCAAGAGAGUGGCCCAGGGGUUAGAAAUGACGGUGACAGCUGCUGCCUGGCAACUUGGAGAAACUCAGUUUGUGUUCUCGCCUGUGCUUCUGUGACUCUCUUCACAACCUCCAAGGAGGUUCAUCCUCCGAAUGCAGCAUAAAGCCCUUAGCCUCGACCAGGGCUUGUGGGAACCUGCAGGGCCUGGGGCAGCAGCUCCGGCCUCCGGAAGCAUCCACUGUGAUGGGAGAGCCAUGGUUUUCAGCCCCAAACAUCCCAUAGGACCCCCGCUUCUGUUCUUCAGUUAACUCCCAGUUGCAGGUUUCAUUUCCCUGCAUCUUGACUCCGCAGACGGAUGGCGAGGUGAUGCAUUCAGCCAGGGCCAUGUGGGUUUAGGGAGCCUCUGGAUGGCUUGUCCGCUGGUGACCUAGACCCUGUCACCACUGUGUGGAGAUCCUAACAGGACGCUUUCCUUAUAAAACCUAAGCCGGAGCUUCCGUUGUGGCGUAGUGGAAACAAAACUGACGAGUAUCCAUGAGGAUGUGGUUUCAAUUCCUGGCCUUGCUCAGUGGGUCGGGGA
Molecule: non-coding RNA, 1274 nt
Organism: Sus scrofa (pig)
Lineage: Eukaryota; Metazoa; Chordata; Mammalia; Artiodactyla; Suidae
Source: RefSeq, a predicted model, not a curated record